AUGCAUAUUGCUUCUCUCGGGUGGGCUUUUUUUGCUGUGGAAAAACUGGUCAUAAAACUGCAGGAUGUCAGCAUAAACCAGCAGGCUUGCAUGAAAAUGGCAGCAUCUGCUCUGUCCUGGCUGGCACAGAGUCACCUGGAGGAGCAGCAUCUCCCCCGCAACCCCUCGCACCUCAUCUCUCCAGAAACACCGGGUGAGCAUGGAAGAGAAGGGGACAACACAGUGGCACUGCAGAGCCAGGGCAGAGAAAUGUUGGUUUGUGCAGGAGAACAUCUUUCUGUUUGGUCAAAUAAGCUUCUGCUGUACGUACAGUGCUGA
This 318-nucleotide long non-coding RNA is filed under the name Numida meleagris (helmeted guineafowl). RNAcentral describes it as "lncRNA (ENSNMEG00000014469.1)". The record is from RNAcentral. Lineage: Eukaryota; Metazoa; Chordata; Aves; Galliformes; Numididae.